CCCAUAUAAGUUAUUGGUAUUUGCUUCUUCACUUUAUGCCAUCUCAACUUAUGAAACAUUUCACAGGAACAUUUUUUUUGGAUAUGGUGGGAUGGCAGGGGUAGGCCCCUGUUUUCAGUUCUCAGCUCAAAUAAUUACACCGUCACUUUUCCUUACAAAAUAUAUUAUAAUUUGAUAUGCAACAGAAGUGCCUUAUGCAUACUUCUUUAACUAUCACACAGAAUAUUGAAAAUAUGUGUACUCGAGGGUGGAGAUCUAAUAAAAGUGAUUUUUUUCUCCUGCUCUAUCAAGAACAGUCUUACAUGAAACUUUUUCCCUAUGAAUUAGAAAUGUAGUUGUUACUAUUAUAGAUUGGUGCCAGUGUUAUGUUGAUGUGCCUGCAUUUUACCCACUGUAUUAAUCAUUUUUUUAUCUUCUAUAUUUUAUGAUAUUUUGAAACUUUGGAGGGCCUUGCUGGCUGGGGAGAGAUUGCCCCUCCUAGAGCUGGCUGAUUUCGUAGGGAUGGUAAACCACCUGUUGGUGAGCCUACAUUUUAUAUAAAAACCAACCAAUCCCAAGUCCAUCCCCUCAACCAUGUGCUUUAUCUAACUCUCACACACUGAGCCAACACUUCCUGUGUCCUAAAUCACCCAGGACUAGGUACCAUACAACUACAGACGCAUAGCCUCCAACACUACUCUAAAAAGCCAAUCCUAAACUGUUUCUCCUACCCUGCCUUGCCUUUCCCAUGCAAGCAGGUCCCACAAAAGGCUCUCGCAUAGGCUUUCCCCUCUCUCCUUUCUGUGUCCUGACCAAGCCUGCUGCUCCUCUGUGUGGCCCUACAAGGCAUGGUGUGCCCUCUCCUCUAAGGAAAUGUAAUGAAAAUCUCCUUUCAAUGAGAUUAGCCUAUGUCAUCACUCAGCCAUCUUCAUAAAUUAAAAUUCCAUAAGUACAAAUGAGACACCCACCUUUAAAAGACAAGGUUGUUAUUAUUAACAAAAAGAGUUUUGAUUUUGUGGACUACCUUCCCAAACUCUCCUGCAUAAGGAUCUCACGUACUAAGAUCCAUGUCACACUUCGGGAACUGCUGGCUUAGGCCUUUCUGCUUGUUUUUCAUGUCUUUAACAUUUCAGUCCUCUUUCUUUUGUUUAGUCUUCUAUUUAUAGGCAUUCUUAAAUCUCUCCACAAAAAGAGAAAUCAUUGUCUAAUAUUUAUCUUCCUCUUAGUUUUCAUAUUCUUUCCUUUCUUUCCCUGUGCAAUGUCUUAACUGUUUCUUGUGCUCAGGCUCAUAUCCUAUUCUCACCAUGACACCUGCCAUCAAAUUUCAAAAUCAAUAUGCUUUGGACCUAGGUGAUAGUUUAGUAUCACUUCUUUUCAAUAAAUUUCUUUCCAAUAAGUGUCUGUAUUCCAUAUCAUAGCGCUCAGAUUCCUGAUACCUACCCACCUUGAUCUGGGUGAAAAACACUAACUCAUUCUUAACGUAUUUCCCAGAUGCCUUCUCACACGUUCAUUGCUUUUCUUCCCCCUUAUUGCCUGGGAAAAUAAAUAUUUGUUGAUAAAUGGAUUUUAUUUCACUGGUCUCUUGUUGUUAUGCUUUAAGGAUCUUUCUUCAUCCUCAGUGCUUGCCUUUGUAAAAGUCCUAUCAGCUAUAAUAAUCUGAUCCAUUCUCAAGUUGUGAUUUUCUUGUUUUAUGUGAAUGGCUUUCAAACACACAUUUUCAGCCCACUUCUCCCACCUGAACUCUAGUAUCUAUUUUCAUCUGCCUAUAGCAACACAA
Molecule: long non-coding RNA, 1756 nt
Organism: Herpailurus yagouaroundi (jaguarundi)
Lineage: Eukaryota; Metazoa; Chordata; Mammalia; Carnivora; Felidae
Exons: 2
Source: RefSeq, a predicted model, not a curated record